GACGAACGCUGGCGGCGCGCUUAACACAUGCAAGUCGAGCGAAUCGGCGGACGGGUGAGUAACACGUGCGUAACCUGCCUUAGACAUUGGGAUAGCCUCUGUCAACCGGGAUUAAUACCAAAUGGUCUAAGGUGGACUCGCGUCCCAUUAGCGAGUUGGUGAGGUAACGGCCCACCAAGGCGACGAUGGGUAGCCGGCCUGAGAGGGUGAACGGCCACAUUGGAACUGAGAAACGGUCGAAACGCUACGGGAGGCAGAAGUGGGGAAUAGUGCAAAAUGGAGGGAACUCUGAUGCAGCGAGGCCGCGUGAACGAAGAAGGCUGUCGAGUCGUAAAGUUCUUUUAUAUGGGAAGCGGUACCAUAAGAAAAAGCCCCGGCUAACUACGUGCCAGCAGCCGCGGUAAUAC
RNAcentral lists this ribosomal RNA (407 nucleotides) under uncultured bacterium. RNAcentral describes it as "partial 16S ribosomal RNA". It matches the Rfam family "Bacterial small subunit ribosomal RNA", at positions 28 to 526 of the family's 1533-position model. The record is from RNAcentral.